CGACUAACAGUGUGGUUCAACAUGCAAAACUAUGUAACAUCUACAUGGACUAUAGAAGAUAGACAGAACGUAAACCGGUCCUUAGAAUGGCCGGGUUAAUACGUUGAAAAACAGAGAAUGGUCAAGGGAAAGCUGAGGUCAAGGAAGCCAGAAAUACACAAGAUCGAUAAGGAAAGCCAAGUCAGGUAAACCAGAGAUGAGAGGAGUCAGGAAUAGCCAAAGUCAA
Pelobates cultripes (western spadefoot toad) is the source of this 226-nucleotide non-coding RNA. The record is from the annotation of a GenBank genome assembly. Lineage: Eukaryota; Metazoa; Chordata; Amphibia; Anura; Pelobatidae.